This 1343-nucleotide ribosomal RNA is filed under the name uncultured bacterium. Its description in RNAcentral is "16S ribosomal RNA". It matches the Rfam family "Bacterial small subunit ribosomal RNA", at positions 28 to 1378 of the family's 1533-position model. The record is from RNAcentral.
GACGAACGCUGGCGGCGUGCUUAACACAUGCAAGUCGAACGGAAAGGCCCUGCUUUUGUGGGGUGCUCGAGUGGCGAACGGGUGAGUAACACGUGAGUAACCUGCCCUUGACUUUGGGAUAACUUCAGGAAACUGGGGCUAAUACCGGAUAGGAGCUCCUGCUGCAUGGUGGGGGUUGGAAAGUUUCGGCGGUUGGGGAUGGACUCGCGGCUUAUCAGCUUGUUGGUGGGGUAGUGGCUUACCAAGGCUUUGACGGGUAGCCGGCCUGAGAGGGUGACCGGCCACAUUGGGACUGAGAUACGGCCCAGACUCCUACGGGAGGCAGCAGUGGGGAAUAUUGCACAAUGGGCGGAAGCCUGAUGCAGCAACGCCGCGUGCGGGAUGACGGCCUUCGGGUUGUAAACCGCUUUCGCCUGUGACGAAGCGUGAGUGACGGUAAUGGGUAAAGAAGCACCGGCUAACUACGUGCCAGCAGCCGCGGUGAUACGUAGGGUGCGAGCGUUGUCCGGAUUUAUUGGGCGUAAAGGGCUCGUAGGUGGUUGAUCGCGUCGGAAGUGUAAUCUUGGGGCUUAACCCUGAGCGUGCUUUCGAUACGGGUUGACUUGAGGAAGGUAGGGGAGAAUGGAAUUCCUGGUGGAGCGGUGGAAUGCGCAGAUAUCAGGAGGAACACCAGUGGCGAAGGCGGUUCUCUGGGCCUUUCCUGACGCUGAGGAGCGAAAGCGUGGGGAGCGAACAGGCUUAGAUACCCUGGUAGUCCACGCUGUAAACGGUGGGUACUAGGUGUGGGGUCCACUCCACGGGUUCCGUGCCGUAGCUAACGCUUUAAGUACCCCGCCUGGGGAGUACGGCCGCAAGGCUAAAACUCAAAGGAAUUGACGGGGCCCCGCACAAGCGGCGGAGCAUGCGGAUUAAUUCGAUGCAACGCGUAGAACCUUACCUGGGUUUGACAUGGAUCGGGAGUGCUCAGAGAUGGGUGUGCCUCUUUUGGGGUCGGUUCACAGGUGGUGCAUGCCUGUCGUCAGCUCGUGUCGUGAGAUGUUGGGUUAAGUCCCGCAACGAGCGCAACCCUUGUUCACUGUUGCCAGCACGUUAUGGUGGGGACUCAGUGGAGACCGCCGGGGUCAACUCGGAGGAAGGUGGGGAUGACGUCAAGUCCUCAUGCCCCUUAUGUCCAGGGCUUCACGCAUGCUACAAUGGCUGGUACAGAGAGUGGCGAGCCUGUGAGGGUGAGCGAAUCUCGGAAAGCCGGUCUCAGUUCGGAUUGGGGUCUGCAACUCGACCUCAUGAAGUCGGAGUCGCUAGUAAUCGCAGAUCAGCAACGCUGCGGUGAAUACGUUCCCGGG